This 178-nucleotide ribosomal RNA is filed under the name Staphylococcus felis. Its description in RNAcentral is "partial 16S ribosomal RNA". It matches the Rfam family "Bacterial small subunit ribosomal RNA", at positions 1362 to 1533 of the family's 1533-position model. The record is from RNAcentral. Lineage: Bacteria; Bacillati; Bacillota; Bacilli; Caryophanales; Staphylococcaceae.
GUGAAUACGUUCCCGGGUCUUGUACACACCGCCCGUCACACCACGAGAGUUUGUAACACCCGAAGCCGGUGGAGUAACCAUCUGGAGCUAGCCGUCGAAGUUGGGACAAAUGAUUGGGGGGAAGUCGUAACAAGGUAGCCGUAGGGGCAGGUGCGGCGGGCGCAGCUCCAUUCUAAGG